Long non-coding RNA from Cygnus atratus (black swan), 1112 nucleotides. RefSeq lists it as uncharacterized. The record is from RefSeq and is a predicted model, not a curated record. The transcript is spliced from 3 exons. NCBI's taxonomy places the organism in Eukaryota, Metazoa, Chordata, Aves, Anseriformes, Anatidae.
UUGGGAAACCCUUCUAACUGGCUGCUGUUUACGUCCCGAGGCCUGUGAAAGAAGAGAAUAGGACAGUGAUGACAUAAUUGAGAUUGAGUUUUUUUUUUCUACUGCUGUUUUACUGAAUUAUGGGGGUGAGGAGGCAGCACAGUGAUGUGCUGCUGUGUGCUGCAGGCUGGCUCAGGACAGGCUGAUCCUUCUGUGCACCCUACUUGCCCGUGAAAGGGAAGGGGUGGGUUAUGGAGUCAGGUAGGAGCUUUAUUUUUUUCCCUGGGUGUAUCUGAAAGGUAGUACUUAAUCCAGUAGCUUCACAUCUAAAAGCCAGACAGCAGAAAGGACCUUGCCUUAUUCCUGCGGAGAGCAGGUUACAGAACGAUUCCCACCUACCUUUGAUUCUGCAGAAUGGCUCCCAGGAAGUCCCUCAGUACCAUCCGCUGGUGGUAGCGGCUGUCCAUCAGGAUGCUGUCGGACUGGCGCCUCGUCAGAAGCUCGUGCACCCCUUCUUCUGGGCUGCUCUCACUGUUUCUGUGAUGCGAAGAUGAGAACCGUCUUUGUUUCAGAGGUUUUUUGCAAAGAUGCAAUAAUUUCUGUGGAAAGCAAGCAAAAUGAGAUGAGAAAGACAAGGCUUGACCUGUGUUACCAGUUACUUCUACGGAAGAAAUGGAGAACCCAAAUCCCAAACGCAGCAGUUAGUGCCAGUUUUGUUGGCAGAGAGAAGGGAAGAGCUUUAACCUGGAAGGCGUACAGUACUGGCCGGGAGCCGUGUGUGUGCUUUCCCCUCUGCCUGCAACCUUCAAACCCUGAGGAUCGGUGCCCGUGAGGAGGUGUACGUGGACAGCAGCACCACCCAGCUCAGCGUACUGGUAGUAUGGAAAUCAUUUAACCUGGUCAUUUAAGCCACACUGAUAGGAUCUCUCCUGACAUUCGCUUUCACAAGUUAUUUCUCCAUCCUCAGUGGUUUUGUAUCCUUGAUGCUCUGUGUUCAGGACCUAAAAGGGCAGGGUUUAUUGCUGUUCCUGAGCUCUGGGUUUAUCCCUUGGCCAUCACAGGUAGUGAAAGCUUUGAUCAUUAUUUAAGAGUAAUUUUUUCUUAAUUUUUCAAGCCAGAAAAAUUGCUUUGUA